Molecule: ribosomal RNA, 446 nt
Filed under: uncultured bacterium
Lineage: Bacteria
Description: partial 16S ribosomal RNA
Rfam family: Bacterial small subunit ribosomal RNA
Source: RNAcentral
CUCCAGACUCCUACGGGAGGCAGCAGUGGGGAAUAUUGCACAAUGGGGGGAACCCUGAUGCAGCGACGCCGCGUGGGUGAAGGAGCACCUCGGUGCGUAAAGCCCUAUCGGCAGGGAAGAAACAGACGGUACCUGACUAAGAAGCCCCGGCUAACUACGUGCCAGCAGCCGCGGUAAUACGUAGGGGGCAAGCGUUAUCCGGAUUUACUGGGUGUAAAGGGGGCGCAGACGGCGAUGCAAGCCAGGAGUGAAAGCCCGGGGCCCAGCCCCGGGACUGCUCUUGGAACUGCGUGGCUGGAGUGCAGGAGGGGCAGGCGGAAUUCCUGGUGUAGCGGUGAAAUGCGUAGAAAUCAGGAGGAACACCGGCGGCGAAGGCGGCCUGCUGGACUGAAACUGACGCUGAGGCACGAAAGCGUGGGGAGCGAACAGGAUUAGAUACCCCGGUA